Molecule: ribosomal RNA, 332 nt
Filed under: uncultured eukaryote
Lineage: Eukaryota
Description: partial 18S ribosomal RNA
Rfam family: Eukaryotic small subunit ribosomal RNA
Source: RNAcentral
CCCUUAGAUGUUCUGGGCCGCACGCGCGCUACACUGAUACAGGCAGCAAGUUAUAUUUCCCCUUGGCUGAGAGGCCUGGGUAAUCUUGUGAAAUUGUAUCGUGAUGGGGAUAGGUCACUGUAAUCGUUGACCUUUAACGAGGAAUUCCUAGUACGCGCAAGUCAUCAGCUUGCAUGGAUUACGUCCCUGCCCUUUGUACACACCGCCCGUCGCUCCUACCGAUUGAAUGGUCCGGUGAAGCGCUCGGACCGCGGCCUCUUGACGGUUUUCCGUCGAUUGGCUGUGGGAAGUUCGUUAAACCUUAUCAUUUAGAGGAAGGAGAAGUCGUAACA